UGCCUUAAGUUUUAGCUUUCAUAUUUUUCAGAUUCUGUGCUGCCUUAGUGUGCAACUCUGAACUCCAUAUAAAGUGUUAGCAAGUUCUCUUCACAGGGGAGUUAGACAAAACAAUCCUUUUCCAGCCUGAGAACCAAGGACACUGCUACAGCUUCAGGCCCAUCAAUAAUGUAAAAGUGACUAUCUCUGUUUGCAUCACCUUCCUGCUGGCUUGGUGGCUGUGAUUGCUCCAAUGGAGGCAUCCAUAGAGGAGAUAUCCACGGCAAGGAGGAAGGCUCAAAGGUGGCGGCUGCAAGGGGAACGGAAAAGGAAAGGAUUUUUGUGAUUUU
RNAcentral lists this long non-coding RNA (329 nucleotides) under Cyanistes caeruleus (blue tit). Its description in RNAcentral is "lncRNA (ENSCCEG00000000222.1)". Lineage: Eukaryota; Metazoa; Chordata; Aves; Passeriformes; Paridae. The record is from RNAcentral.